UUGAACGCUGGCGGCAUGCUUUACACAUGCAAGUCGAACGGUAACAGGUUAAGCUGACGAGUGGCGAACGGGUGAGUAAUGCAUCGGAACGUGCCCGAUCGUGGGGGAUAACGCAGCGAAAGCUGCGCUAAUACCGCAUACGAUCUGAGGAUGAAAGCGGGGGACCGUAAGGCCUUGCGCGAUCGGAGCGGCCGAUGUCAGAUUAGGUAGUUGGUGGGGUAAAGGCUCACCAAGCCGACGAUCUGUAGCUGGUCUGAGAGGACGACCAGCCACACUGGGACUGAGACACGGCCCAGACUCCUACGGGAGGCAGCAGUGGGGAAUUUUGGACAAUGGGCGAAAGCCUGAUCCAGCAAUGCCGCGUGCAGGAAGAAGGCCUUCGGGUUGUAAAGCUCUUUCGGCAGGAACGAAACGGUAAGGGCUAAUAUCCUUUGCUAAUGACGGUACCUGAAGAAGAAGCACCGGCUAACUACGU
RNAcentral lists this ribosomal RNA (475 nucleotides) under uncultured bacterium. RNAcentral's name for it is "bacterial SSU rRNA". It matches the Rfam family "Bacterial small subunit ribosomal RNA", at positions 30 to 506 of the family's 1533-position model. The record is from RNAcentral.